This 3062-nucleotide long non-coding RNA is filed under the name Pelobates cultripes (western spadefoot toad). Lineage: Eukaryota; Metazoa; Chordata; Amphibia; Anura; Pelobatidae. The record is from RNAcentral.
ACAGAAUUUUGGAAUGACCAGCCGUCCGGAGAACCUUUCUUUCUCAUGUUUAAAGCAUUUCUGGCUUUAAACUCUAGAAAGGGAGGUUCUCCAGCAAGCUUGUCAUUCCAAAAUUCUGUUUGUCCAAUAAAAAGAAUGUAUUACAAGAUACUAAUUGAAUCUGUUAUUUUACAUCUGAAUCACUGUCCUAAUGUAAUAGAGGUACAAUCUAUACUCUAAUAUAUACAGUAUAUAGUAACUCUAACUCUAGUAAAUAUAUAUUUUUAUAUACAUAUAUAAGAGUAUAUAUAUAUAUAUUUAUACUCUUAUAUAUGUAUAGUAGAGGCGCUGCCAUCCUGAUAUAUGCUAAUUAUUCUGCUUUCUUAAAUCCCACUUUUGCAUGUAUUUAUGUAUUAUAACACUGAUGUUCUAAAAUCUAAUUCUUCCGUGCUGAAUUAACAGCUCUAUCGAAUUAUCAGUCUUAGACUGACAUAGAAAAAAAUAUCCCCAUCCUUCCCCAUAUUUUUCAAUUAUUAACUUCAGUUAACUGAUUGAAGAAUACAAAAAAAAAUGCCAAAAGUUUGAAUAUAUAGACACUAGAGAAAGGGGAAUAGUAGUCUUGGCACUGCAGAUAUUUGUUAACUCAAUUUCCCAUAAUAGCCUGCCUUGAAACUGGUAGAGCAUCAUGGGAAAUGUAGUCCACACACAUCUGCUGUACCUAGAAUAGCAAUCCCUAGAGAGAAAGAAUGGGAAAAGGUACAGCACAAUACAUAAAUUGAACUGCCCAAAAAUGAAGUAUGUGGUUCUGGGCCUGUCUUGAGAAGUGAGAUGCUCUGUGCAUUUCAUCUUAGGUCCAUUACCCAACUGACAAUGGGCAGCUUCACAGUGGAACUUGAAAACAAAGUACAAUGUGUAUGUCUCCAGUGCUGUCCAUUUAUUUAUUUCAUCAUGUGACAAGACCAAAAUAUCCUGAUGACUCUUGUUUUUUUAAAAUAUUUCUUCAUUGAUUUUGCUGUCUUCUUGUAGACUUUUACUACUCAUCUUCUUCAGUCCAUCACUGUUUUGGUAAUGUUUUUCUGAAUUAACUUAUUUUAUUACCUGUGAGCACCUCUUAAGUUCUCUUUUCUGUUGUGUUUUAUGCAAGCUCUUAUUGUAAAGUUAGGAAUCCCUGUUGUAGCUAUUACUAAAUAAUUAUGCACUACUACUAAACUUUUGUUCUUUGUUUUUUGAGUCUUAAAGGUAACAAAAAAAAAAGAAUGUAUUUUUCUACAUUAUGGCUUGAUGCUUAGUAAAAGUUAUUUCAUAAAACAACGUCUUGUUAUGUCUAGCGUUCACAAACUAUUAAAGAACAAAUGUAGUUUUAACUAAUGCUAAUCCAGCAAAACAAAUUUAUAUAGCUUCAUGUUGUAUGUUAUAAACCGACACCAUGCUAUUGUCUGAUAAAAAAAAAAAUGUAUAGAAUCCCAUGUAUAUACUUCUUUUUAACCUUCUUCGACCUUCAUUUAUUUUGAGAGAAAACUCCAUCCGAGUCUAUAGCCAGAGCAGGAGUUGUGAGAGAAGAGUUGAGAAAAUAUGGCAGUUUCCUUUGCUAGACAGAUCAGAAUGUGAAUGUGGGUGAUAAGUUGGUUACCAUGCUGUCCCUAUAAUCCAAGAUGCCUUCUGCACUGCACUGUUUCCUGUAAGCAUUUUUCUGUUAGCAGUCCAGCAAUGAAACAGUUAACGAAGCGAACCGUUUAGUACAGUCAAAACACUUGAUGCCCUGGAAACUACCCUGGAUCUCUGAAAUAUCCCCUCAUUAACCUUUCUGGCGCUGGACUGCCAGCACAAGAUGCUUAGAGGGAACAUCGCUGCAGGGAUACGACUGCAUUAUAAUUUGAUGAAGCAUCCUCUUUAGAAUGCAAAUGAUGUGGUCACCUAGCAGUGAUUAAUCAUGGAUUCUAGUCUUGACACUUGAUAUUCCCUCAUGGGUUAAACAUUCCACUGCCUUCUGAACCCAUUGCGAUCAGUAGUUGCCCAUAGGCAAUCGGUCUGUGCUCGAAUCCUAUGAGUUAAAAGAUCAGUCCACCUUUAAUUUUGCAUUCCCCUCAGGCAUUGUGACGUAGGAUGCAGUUUGCAGCUUAAUGUGCCUUCCCUUGCCUUUUAAAUCGCCACCAACCACAGAUGGCUGUUUUAGUGGCCCUGCAAUGCUGCAACCCAUCAGCUUGUAUUUAAAUUUCCAUAUAUUAUGUAUUCGCUAAUAGUUGGCAGGAAUAUUGUAUUAUGUGUUAGGUGUAGUGUGUUAAAAUGUUUUUUUUUUUUUUUUAAAUCCCCCCUUGAGGGUACAGAUGAAUCAGCAAUUCCUGGCUCAUUCUCGUGGCACUCAGGGGGUUAACCUUCUGUAGAUGAGUCUAGUGAUUAGAUAAGCCUUUAUUUUAAGUAAUCAAGUAGCUAAUCUCUUUUUGUACAAUUGACAAAAGCGCCAACAGCCUUACUAAAUUAAGCAGAUUUGAUAUACAUUGAUCUGCAUACAUGUAAGAAUCUAUUUUGUGUGCAACAUAUAUUUAAAUUAACUAGAAUAUAUAUAUAUAUAUAUAAAUACACACCUAUAUAUAACUAGGAGAUUGAUAAAUGUUAUAUAAAGUGUGCAAAGUUUGUAUAAUAAUAAAUUUUUGUAAACAAUGCAAUUUCGUCUAAUGUUUGAAAAGAAAAAAAACAAAACAGAUCAACACUUUGAUUAUCGUGCGUUAAAGUAAAGCUUUAGUUAGAUUCUUUUUUUUUAAUUGUUAAUUGGAAAUAUAUAUUUUGCUUUGGAAUCUUAAAAAUAGCCUAUCUGUUUACAAGUACACCAAAUCACUGGCAUAUUUUGUAAUUGUUAAUACCACUUAAAUGUUUCAUUUGUUAUUGUAAAUAUUAGAAAGUUAUACAAAGUAGCUAUGUUUUAAAUUCAUUAUGCCAAAUCAGUUAUUAAAUAUGCAGUUGCUUACACUGAUUUUGAACUUUCUCCAAGUGAUCAAGAACGUAUUCAUAGCUUAAUUCCUUUCAUUAACCAUUUCAGAGACAAGGGGGCGGGGGACAGACAAAAAGUCCAAAUAUUUUGUUAUUAU